This 301-nucleotide ribosomal RNA is filed under the name uncultured bacterium. Its description in RNAcentral is "partial 16S ribosomal RNA". It matches the Rfam family "Bacterial small subunit ribosomal RNA", at positions 509 to 807 of the family's 1533-position model. The record is from RNAcentral.
CAGCAGCCGCGGUAAUACGGAGGGUGCAAGCGUUAUCCGGAUUCACUGGGUUUAAAGGGUGCGUAGGUGGGCAGGUAAGUCAGUGGUGAAAUCUCCGGGCUUAACCCGGAAACUGCCGUUGAUACUAUCUGUCUUGAAUAUAGUGGAGGUGAGCGGAAUAUGUCAUGUAGCGGUGAAAUGCUUAGAUAUGACAUAGAACACCCAUUGCGAAGGCAGCUCGCUACACUAUUAUUGACACUGAGGCACGAAAGCGUGGGGAUCAAACAGGAUUAGAUACCCCCGUAGUCCCUGUCUCUUAUAC